This 861-nucleotide long non-coding RNA is filed under the name Durio zibethinus. RNAcentral's name for it is "long non-coding RNA (DZIB_LNC000235)". The record is from RNAcentral. Lineage: Eukaryota; Viridiplantae; Streptophyta; Magnoliopsida; Malvales; Malvaceae.
CUUAAAUCAGUAAAAUAUUUUUUGUAUAAUUAAAAGAAAUGCAAAACCAACUUCAAAAGAGUAACAGAGCAAGGAAGAAAUAGGGCAUUGACCAAGCCGAGAAAGAAAAAAGAGCAGAGCAUUAUAUUUGCAGUCUCUAAGACUCUAACAGAUGGAAUAGUUUAAUUUUUCUAUUCUGUGUAUUUUCUUAAGGGGACCACGUUUCCAUUGUUUGAUUCAAAAUAAAGGAAUAGAAAAGAUAUUUUGUGGCCUAAGGGUUCCGUGUGAAAGAAGAACUAGCUUUCUUUUGUAAGUGCAGGUAUUUGCAAUUCCUUGCUUCAUGGAAUUUGUUUAAUUUCUCCUAAUUCCAAGAGUGCCCUUUCUUCCCAUCUUCAAUUCAUCUUCAUUGCAGCUUUCUGGUAGCAGUUGUGACCAACAGUUGUACUUGGUUUCUGGUGGCAUAUCCUCUUCACAAGCACCACCUGACGAAGUGGGGAUGCGAAAGCUACAAGCCCAAAACCUUUGACCCUUUCUUUCUAAAGGGGGUGCAUCUCAUCUUGUCAUUUCGCCCUCUCCCCUCUCGAUGCUACUCAUCUCCAUCUCCCCUUACAAACCUUCUUCUACUCACCGUGAAUCUUUCUGCCAGUUAAAGAUCGGAGUGAGAUAGAAAGUGGGAAAAGAAGAGAGAGAGGAGCUUUGGGGAUAUUUCUUCUUUUAGAAAAGUAAACGAGAGAGAAAGGGAGAGUCAGAAGCUUUUUAUUUUUUAAUAUUUUGGUAUCGAGUUUCAUGUUCGAAAAGUAGAUAUGAAAAGGACAAAGAAUCAGAGGGGAGGGUAUUUUAGACAUUUAACUCUCUAUAUAUUUAUAUAUAUAAUGAUUUUAU